RNAcentral lists this ribosomal RNA (465 nucleotides) under uncultured bacterium. Its description in RNAcentral is "SSU rRNA". It matches the Rfam family "Bacterial small subunit ribosomal RNA", at positions 26 to 518 of the family's 1533-position model. The record is from RNAcentral.
AGGAUUAACGCUGGCGGCGUGCCUAACACAUGCAAGUCGAACGAGGUAGCAAUACCUAGUGGCAGACGGGUGAGUAGCGCGUGGUCAACCUACCGUUGAGUGGGGGAUAACUAGCCGAAAGGUUAGCUAAUACCGCAUACGUCUCCGAGGGGCAUCCCUUGGCGAUAAAAGGAGCAAUCCGCUCGAUGACGGGACCGCGUCCCAUUAGCUAGUUGGUGGGGUAACGGCCUACCAAGGCGUCGAUGGGUAGCUGGUUUGAGAGAGCGACCAGCCACACUGGGACUGAGAUACGGCCCAGACUCCUACGGGAGGCAGCAGUGAGGAAUUUUCCGCAAUGGGCGAAAGCCUGACGGAGCGACGCCGCGUGUGGGAAGAAGGCCUUCGGGUCGUAAACCACUGUCGAAGGGGAAGAGUAAUGACGGUACCCUUGGAGGAAGCCCCGGCUAACUACGUGCCAGCAGCCGC